UACGAAGGGGGCUAGCGUUGCUCGGAAUGACUGGGCGUAAAGGGCGCGUAGGCGGUUUGUACAGUCAGGUGUGAAAUCCUGGAGCUCAACUCCAGAACUGCCUUUGAUACUGGGGAUCUCGAGUCCGGGAGAGGUGAGUGGAACUGCGAGUGUAGAGGUGAAAUUCGUAGAUAUUCGCAAGAACACCAGUGGCGAAGGCGGCUCACUGGCCCGGUACUGACGCUGAGGUGCGAAAGCGUGGGGAGCAAACAGG
Molecule: ribosomal RNA, 253 nt
Filed under: uncultured bacterium
Lineage: Bacteria
Description: partial 16S ribosomal RNA
Rfam family: Bacterial small subunit ribosomal RNA
Source: RNAcentral